This 520-nucleotide ribosomal RNA is filed under the name uncultured bacterium. RNAcentral's name for it is "bacterial SSU rRNA". It matches the Rfam family "Bacterial small subunit ribosomal RNA", at positions 29 to 526 of the family's 1533-position model. The record is from RNAcentral.
AACGAACGCUGGCGGCGUGGUUGAUACAUGCAAGUCGAACGGGACUAAGGGGUUCGCCCCUUUUGUACCGUGGCGGACGGGUGAGUAGCGUAUGGUCAAUCUGCCUUGGAGAUCGGGAUAUACGGCCGAAAGGCCGGGUAAUACCGGAUAAGCCCACGUUACUGCAUGGUGAUGGGGGAAAAGGGUUGGGAUCUUCGGACCUUCCGCUCCAAGAUGAGAUCAUAUCCUAUCAGUUAGUUGGCGGGGUAACGGCCCACCAAGACGAUGACGGGUAGCCGGCCUGAGAGGGUGGACGGCCACACUGGGACUGAGACACGGCCCAGACUCCUACGGGAGGCAGCAGUGCUGAAUUAUUCGCCAAUGCGCGAAAGCGUGACGGUGCGACGCCGCGUGCGGGACGAAGGCCUUCGGGUUGUAAACCGCUGUCAGGGGGUAGAAACCGUGCAGGGUUAAUAGCCUUGCAUCUGAUCCCCCCCAAAGGAAGCACAGGCUAACCUCGUGCCAGCAGCCGCAGUAAUAC